GAUUGAACGCUGGCGGUAUGCUUAACACAUGCAAGUCGAACGGAAACGAUACUAGCUUGCUAGUAGGCGUCGAGUGGCGGACGGGUGAGUAACGCGUAGGAAUCUGCCUGAUAGUGGGGGAUAGCCCGAAGAAAUUCGGAUUAAUACCGCAUAAUCUAUUCGUAGUAAAGUGGGGGACUUUCGAGCCUCACGCUAUCAGAUGAGCCUGCGUAAGAUUAGCUUGUUGGUAGGGUAAAAGCCUACCAAGGCGACGAUCUUUAGCUGGUCUGAGAGGAUGAUCAGCCACAUCGGGACUGAGACACGGCCCGAACUCCUACGGGAGGCAGCAGUGGGGAAUAUUGGACAAUGGGGGCAACCCUGAUCCAGCAAUACCGCGUGUGUGAAGAAGGCCUGAGGGUUGUAAAGCACUUUCAAUUGUGAAGAAAAGUUAGCGGUUAAUAACCGUUAGCCUUGACGUUAACUUUAGAAGAAGCACCGGCUAACUCCGUGCCAGCAGCCGCGGUAAUACGGAGGGUGCAAGCGUUAAUCGGAAUUACUGGGCGUAAAGCGUGCGUAGGCGGUUUAUUAAGUCAGAUGUGAAAGCCCCGGGCUUAACCUGGGAACUGCAUUUGAAACUGGUCAACUAGAGUAUGGUAGAGGAAAGUGGAAUUUCUGGUGUAGCGGUGAAAUGCGUAGAUAUCAGAAGGAACAUCAAUGGCGAAGGCAGCUUUCUGGACCAAUACUGACGCUGAGGUACGAAAGCGUGGGUAGCAAACAGGAUUAGAUACCCUGGUAGUCCACGCCGUAAACGAUGAUAACUAGCCGUUGGGGGGAUUUACCCCUUAGUGGCGAAGCUAACGCGUUAAGUUAUCCGCCUGGGGAGUACGGCCGCAAGGUUAAAACUCAAAGGAAUUGACGGGGACCCGCACAAGCGGUGGAGCAUGUGGUUUAAUUCGAUGCAACGCGAAGAACCUUACCUGGUCUUGACAUCCUGCGAACUUUCUAGAAAUAGAUUGGUGCCUUCGGGAACGCAGUGACAGGUGCUGCAUGGCUGUCGUCAGCUCGUGUCGUGAGAUGUUGGGUUAAGUCCCGUAACGAGCGCAACCCCUAUCCUUAUUUGCCAGCACAUCAUGGUGGGAACUAUAAGGAGACUGCCGGUGAUAAACCGGAGGAAGGCGGGGACGACGUCAAGUCAUCAUGGCCCUUACGACCAGGGCUACACACGUGCUACAAUGGGAAGGACAAAGAGCCGCGAAGCCGCGAGGUGUAGCUAAUCUCAUAAACCUUUUCGUAGUCCGGAUUGGAGUCUGCAACUCGACUCCAUGAAGUCGGAAUCGCUAGUAAUCGUAGAUCAGAAUGCUACGGUGAAUACGUUCCCGGGUCUUGUACUCACCGCCCGUCA
Molecule: ribosomal RNA, 1381 nt
Filed under: uncultured bacterium
Lineage: Bacteria
Description: 16S ribosomal RNA
Rfam family: Bacterial small subunit ribosomal RNA
Source: RNAcentral